This is a long non-coding RNA of Phasianus colchicus (ring-necked pheasant), 1915 nucleotides long. Lineage: Eukaryota; Metazoa; Chordata; Aves; Galliformes; Phasianidae. The record is from Ensembl.
AUUAAUCCUUCUGUGUAGUGCUACUUUACAACUUCAUUUCCUUUCAGUUUUAGCAGCCUACCAACAUUAGGAUUACUUUCUCCAGAUAACCAUUUUUUUUCCCAGUGUAGGUUAAAUGCCUGUGCUGGGAAAAAAAGAAAAAAAGUAUUCUUAAGGGAAUUUAAAAUGUAAGCCUUUAUGUUCUGUAUUAUAUUUACUCAAAAUUCUGGGUGCAUGAAUAUAGUUAAUCGGAAUGUGCUAGGAGAGGAUAGUAGAGUGCCAAACCCUACCAGUGCCCAGCUGUACCUGGGAAGGUGUGAUUGAAUGGCUCCAGCUGCAUCCUGGGACUAGAGCAAACCCAAAUCAGCUGAAUUAGUUUUCUGUUAUUUUGGGGAUUCAUGGAGAUUAAGCCAAAAAAAAAAAAAAAAAAAAAAGAGAGAAUCACCACGGCUGCUUUGCUCCAAUUUCCUUCUUUUUACCAGGCGUCGUGCUCUCAGCUUCUUCUCCUUGUUCUCCUGCUCCUGGAAGGUGAGGGCCAUCAUUUCAACACGUGACAAUAGAGCUGCUUUGUAGGACAUGGUUGAAAUCCUUGAAGAGGGCCUUGUGAUGAACCUGUUAGAAAUUCUGUACUACUGCAAGGAGGCUAACAUAGACUAGAUGGAUCCCAUUCCUGUGCCUGCUCCUCUCCAUUUUAAAAGAGGACCCAAAAUGAGUAGCUCAGAUGUAGACAUCUGUUGUGCAGCUAUUCAAGCUCAGUCUUCCCAUUGUUUCCUUCCACGGAAGGGGCAAAGCACUUCCUGCAGAGCUCAGCAUGGUCUCCUGCCUCUCAGUGAUCUGGGGAAUGCGUGCUCAGAUGGCCAUUUCAGAAGUGACAGGAGCUGGCAAAGAAGAUGCCACGUCCUAACACUUUGUUUCUUUGGCAGUACUGUAGGUUGACCUUAUCUGGAUUCCCAACCAGCUGUGGGGGCAGUAACCUCAGAUGCACCAAACAGCCAAAGCCAGUGCUGCAGAACCUGUCCAAACAGUUUUUCUGCCAGUUGUUCAUGGCACUAUUCUGGUUCUCCUUUUACCAGUAAAUGAGCCCUUAUACAUGAACCAAUUUGUUCACAAACAUAGGCCCAUGGUUAGUGGGCACAGUGACGAUGGAUCAGAUGAUUGUAAUGGUAUUUUCCAACAACAGUGAUUGAUUCUAUAGAUCUUGUGAAGACUAGAAGGUAUGCACUGCACCUUCAUCACCACUUUGCAUAAGAAUACAUCUGAAAUCUGUUUUACCUCUUCGCAGAAUGUUUAUGUUGUCAAUGCCUGAGAAACAUAAACCCUAAACUAUCAGAAAACUAAUUUGGUUGAGUCUGUACCCAUUCAGGUAGGGGGAAAAAAUGAAGAAACUACAGUCAAGGUGAUGAAAGAGAGAGUCAAAAUAAGGUAUUUAAAUUGCAAUUUAUUGCAAAUUAAUAUUAAAAGCAGAUCCAAAAAUCUGUUGUGUGCAGCAACAGUCAACUCUAAUUCUUUCAGCUGAUCUCUCCUUCCCUGUAUUUUUGUUUAGUAAGUAACCCGUCAGCUCUGAUCAGGAGGGGGAUUUGUUUGUGCUGAGGCAACAAACAGCCCCACAGCUAGCAGCCCCACGGGGAGAGAAGUGGCAAGCUGCCAGAGCCCAGCACUCUCUGGCCAGGCCUUUUCAGAUAGUCCACAUGAGGAGGGCUUAAUGUUUCAAUAUGCAUUUUACCUGCUUGAAGGUAUUUGAUGAAACAGAGGAUCUUGAUGUAGCAGAUAAACUUACUGAAAUCACCACUCAAUACUGCAAUUGCAGUACAGAUGAGUGACAGUAAAAACAUGAUUCCCAUUACUGACUUUAUACACUCAUUGUCAGGAUGUCAGGCAUCCUAAUUGCCAGGAAGGAGCAUGUUGCUUGAAGCCAGCUCAAGCCUGUUGCUUUCUU